Molecule: ribosomal RNA, 478 nt
Filed under: uncultured Lactobacillus sp.
Lineage: Bacteria; Bacillati; Bacillota; Bacilli; Lactobacillales; Lactobacillaceae
Description: bacterial SSU rRNA
Rfam family: Bacterial small subunit ribosomal RNA
Source: RNAcentral
GCACUCUGUAGAAACAAAGAUACAGGCUAGCGGCGGACGGGUGAGUAACACGUGGGUAACCUAGCCCCAAGAGAUCGGGGAUAACACCUGGGAAACAGAUGCUAAUACCGGAUAACAACAGAUGAUGCCUAUCAACUGUUUAAAAGAUGGUUCUGCUAUCACUCUUGGGAUGGACCUGCGGUGCAUUAGCUAGUUGGUAGGGUAACGGCCUACCAAGGCGAUGAUACAUAGCCGAGUUGAGAGACUGAUCGGCCACAUUGGGACUGAGACACGGCCCAAAACUCCUACGGGAGGGCAGCAGUAGGGAAUCUUCCACAAUGGACGCAAGUCUGAUGGAGCAACGCCGCGUGAGUGAAGAAGGGUUUCGGCUCGUAAAGCUCUGUUGUUGGUGAAGAAGGACAGGGGUAGUAACUGACCUUUGUUUGACGGUAAUCAAUUAGAAAGUCACGGCUAACUACGUGCCAGCAGCCGCGGUAAU